Molecule: ribosomal RNA, 117 nt
Filed under: Lepisosteus oculatus (spotted gar)
Lineage: Eukaryota; Metazoa; Chordata; Actinopteri; Semionotiformes; Lepisosteidae
Source: RNAcentral
GCUAGCAGCCAUAUCACCCUGCAAUUCACAACUGGCAGCCCACUGGAGCUCAGCAGGUGUGAGCCUGGUCAGUACCCAGAGGGGAGACCUCCUGGGAAGAACAGGUUGCUGCUGGAA